AGCGGCGGACGGGUGAGUAUGCGUGGGUAACCUGCCCUAUACACACGGAUAACAUACCGAAAGGUAUGCUAAUACGAGAUAAUAUAAGAGAUUCACAUGGAUUUCUUAUCAAAGCUGAGGCGGUAUAGGAUGGACCCGCGUCUGAUUAGCUAGUUGGUAAGGUAACGGCUUACCAAGGCGACGAUCAGUAGCCGACCUGAGAGGGUGAUCGGCCACAUUGGAACUGAGACACGGUCCAAACUCCUACGGGAGGCAGCAGUGGGGAAUAUUGCACAAUGGGCGAAAGCCUGAUGCAGCAACGCCGCGUGAGUGAUGAAGGCCUUCGGGUCGUAAAACUCUGUCCUCAAGGAAGAUAAUGACGGUACUUGAGGAGGAAGCCCCGGCUAACUACGUGCCAGCAGCCGCGGUAAUACGUAGGGGGCUAGCGUUAUCCGGAUUUACUGGGCGUAAAGGGUGCGUAGGUGGUCUCUUAAGUCAGGAGUGAAAGGCUACGGCUUAACCGUAGUAAGCUCUUGAAACUGGGAGACUUGAGUGCAGGAGAGGAAAGUGGAAUUCCUAGUGUAGCGGUGAAAUGCGUAGAUAUUAGGAGGAACACCAGUAGCGAAGGCGGCUUUCUGGACUGUAACUGACACUGAGGCACGAAAGCGUGGGGAGCAAACAGGAUUAGAUACCCUGGUAGUCCACGCCGUAAACGAUGAGUACUAGGUGU
RNAcentral lists this ribosomal RNA (709 nucleotides) under uncultured bacterium. RNAcentral describes it as "bacterial SSU rRNA". It matches the Rfam family "Bacterial small subunit ribosomal RNA", at positions 94 to 823 of the family's 1533-position model. The record is from RNAcentral.